UACGGAAGGCAGCAGUGGGGAAUAUUGCACAAUGGGCGCAAGCCUGAUGCAGCCAUGCCGCGUGUAUGAAGAAGGCCUUCGGGUUGUAAAGUACUUUCAGUCGUGAGGAAGGUGUUAAGGUUAAUAACCUUAGCAAUUGACGUUAGCGACAGAAGAAGCACCGGCUAACUCCGUGCCAGCAGCCGCGGUAAUACGGAGGGUGCGAGCGUUAAAUCGGAAUUACUGGGCGUAAAGGGCACGCAGGCGGUUAAUUAAGUUGGAUGUGAAAUCCCCGGGCUUAACCUGGGAAUGGCAUUCAAGACUGGUUAGCUAGAGUCUUGUAGAGGGGGUAGAAUUCCAUGUGUAGCGGUGAAAAUGCGUAGAGAUGUGGAGGAAUACCGGUGGCGAAAGGCGGCCCCUGGACAAAAGACUGACGCUCAUGUGCGAAAGCGUGGGGAGCAAAACAGGAUUAGAUACC
This 457-nucleotide ribosomal RNA is filed under the name uncultured bacterium. Its description in RNAcentral is "bacterial SSU rRNA". It matches the Rfam family "Bacterial small subunit ribosomal RNA", at positions 340 to 786 of the family's 1533-position model. The record is from RNAcentral.